AUGGAGCCAUGGCUGAGCUGGGUUUUUCUUGUUGUUGUUUUAAAAGGUGUCCAGUGUGAGGUGCAGCUGGUGGAGUCUGGGGGAGGCUUGGUCCAGCCUGGGGGGUCCCUGAGACUCUCCUGUGUAGCCUCUGGAUUCACCUUCAGGAGUUAUGACAUGAGCUGGGUCCGCCAGGCUCCAGGGAAGGGGCUGGAGUGGGUCUCAUACAUUAGUAGUGGUGGUAGCACAUACUACCCAGACUCUGUGAAGGGCCGAUUCACCAUCUCCAGAGACAACGCCAAGAACUCGCUAUAUCUUCAAAUGAACAGCCUGAGAGCCGAGGACACGGCCGUGUAUUACUGUGCGAGAGACACAAUUAGUGAUUCUUGGAGAACUAGAGAUAUUGAGUGGGAGUGA
Non-coding RNA from Nomascus leucogenys (northern white-cheeked gibbon), 396 nucleotides. Lineage: Eukaryota; Metazoa; Chordata; Mammalia; Primates; Hylobatidae. The record is from the annotation of a RefSeq genome assembly.